UCUCCGUUGGUGGACCAGCGGAGGGAUCAUUAUCGAGUUUAUAACUCCCAAACCCUAUGUGAACUUACCACUUGUUGCUUCGGCGCGCGCUUCGGCGCCGCCGAGGACACUUAAACUCUUUGUUUUUAUAAGCAUUUCUGAGUGGCCGAAAGGCAAAAUACAAAUGAAUCAAAACUUUCAACAACGGAUCUCUUGGUUCUG
This 201-nucleotide unclassified non-coding RNA is filed under the name plant metagenome. RNAcentral describes it as "partial contains small subunit ribosomal RNA, internal transcribed spacer 1, and 5.8S ribosomal RNA". The record is from RNAcentral.